This 1372-nucleotide ribosomal RNA is filed under the name uncultured bacterium. RNAcentral's name for it is "bacterial SSU rRNA". It matches the Rfam family "Bacterial small subunit ribosomal RNA", at positions 28 to 1381 of the family's 1533-position model. The record is from RNAcentral.
GAUGAACGCUGGCGGCGUGCCUAAUACAUGCAAGUCGAGCGAACAGAUAAGGAGCUUGCUCCUUUGAAGUUAGCGGCGGACGGGUGAGUAACACGUGGGUAACCUACCUAUAAGACUGGGAUAACUUCGGGAAACCGGAGCUAAUACCGGAUAACAUUUAGAACCGCAUGGCUCUAAAGUGAAAGAUGGUUUUGCUAUCACUUAUAGAUGGACCCGCGCCGUAUUAGCUAGUUGGUAAGGUAACGGCUUACCAAGGCGACGAUACGUAGCCGACCUGAGAGGGUGAUCGGCCACACUGGAACUGAGACACGGUCCAGACUCCUACGGGAGGCAGCAGUAGGGAAUCUUCCGCAAUGGGCGAAAGCCUGACGGAGCAACGCCGCGUGGGUGAUGAAGGGUUUCGGCUCGUAAAACUCUGUUAUUAGGGAAGAACAAAUGUGUAAGUAACUGUGCACAUCUUGACGGUACCUAAUCAGAAAGCCACGGCUAACUACGUGCCAGCAGCCGCGGUAAUACGUAGGUGGCAAGCGUUAUCCGGAAUUAUUGGGCGUAAAGCGCGCGUAGGCGGUUUCUUAAGUCUGAUGUGAAAGCCCACGGCUCAACCGUGGAGGGUCAUUGGAAACUGGGAAACUUGAGUGCAGAAGAGGAAAGUGGAAUUCCAUGUGUAGCGGUGAAAUGCGCAGAGAUAUGGAGGAACACCAGUGGCGAAGGCGACUUUCUGGUCUGUAACUGACGCUGAUGUGCGAAAGCGUGGGGAUCAAACAGGAUUAGAUACCCUGGUAGUCCACGCCGUAAACGAUGAGUGCUAAGUGUUAGGGGGUUUCCGCCCCUUAGUGCUGCAGCUAACGCAUUAAGCACUCCGCCUGGGGAGUACGACCGCAAGGUUGAAACUCAAAGGAAUUGACGGGGACCCGCACAAGCGGUGGAGCAUGUGGUUUAAUUCGAAGCAACGCGAAGAACCUUACCAAAUCUUGACAUCCUUUGAAAACUCUAGAGAUAGAGCCUUCCCCUUCGGGGGACAAAGUGACAGGUGGUGCAUGGUUGUCGUCAGCUCGUGUCGUGAGAUGUUGGGUUAAGUCCCGCAACGAGCGCAACCCUUAAGCUUAGUUGCCAUCAUUAAGUUGGGCACUCUAGGUUGACUGCCGGUGACAAACCGGAGGAAGGUGGGGAUGACGUCAAAUCAUCAUGCCCCUUAUGAUUUGGGCUACACACGUGCUACAAUGGACAAUACAAAGGGCAGCUAAACCGCGAGGUCAUGCAAAUCCCAUAAAGUUGUUCUCAGUUCGGAUUGUAGUCUGCAACUCGACUACAUGAAGCUGGAAUCGCUAGUAAUCGUAGAUCAGCAUGCUACGGUGAAUACGUUCCCGGGUCU